RNAcentral lists this ribosomal RNA (238 nucleotides) under uncultured bacterium. RNAcentral describes it as "partial 16S ribosomal RNA". It matches the Rfam family "Bacterial small subunit ribosomal RNA", at positions 96 to 334 of the family's 1533-position model. The record is from RNAcentral.
UGGCGGACGGGGGAGUAACGCGUGGGUAACCUGCCUCAUACAGGGGGAUAACAGUUAGAAAUGACUGCUAAUACCGCAUAAGACCACAGCACCGCAUGGUGCAGGGGUAAAAACUCCGGUGGUAUGAGAUGGACCCGCGUCUGAUUAGGUAGUUGGUGGGGUAACGGCCUACCAAGCCGACGAUCAGUAGCCGACCUGAGAGGGUGACCGGCCACAUUAGGACUGAGACACGGCCCAA